CGACAGGGGGCAUCUUCGCGUGCUGACGGGCUCAAGCACCCACGGCGCAAGUGGGGCUCAGAUCGAUGCAGCACUGCGAAUGUCGGUGGUGAUUCCCAGCAUGGCGUGGCGUCAGAGCGAGCCGCGACAGUGCAGACGUGUGCGCCAUCCAUGGGAUGGGCAAUGCGCCAGCCUGACCCGCACCUACCUCACCAGGCCCUCACACUGCCCUGCCGGUGGGGUGGUGGGGAGCCUGGGCCACCCCGAUGGCGGCACCGCGUGGCGACCGGCACAAUGCGAGCGGCUGUGCGGCGACCUGCGAGGCGGGGAUGGUGGGCGGAGUCUGAGUCCGAGGCGAUGCUCCGAUGAAUGAGUAGGCGCAUCGCUGUAACGUGCGUGUGUGUGCGCGUGUUCGGCUGCUUCGCACGACGCGGAUGGGGGCCUGUGACAGGGCUGGUGUGUGUGUGUGUGUGGUGUGCGUGUGGUGUGCGUGUGGUGGUGGGGAGGUGCAGCUUAGUUUGGCCUCAUGCUCUAUGGCCGGAGUACUGAACUUGAAGAACUCCUUCCCUUCUCUCCACUGCUGUGACACUGACGCGUACGCAAGUUGCCGUUUCCAUCGCGCCCUGUCUAUCUAACCCCCUUGUCUCUCUGUCCCAUACGCUUUUUUUACGGUGGAUGCGGCUCACAG
RNAcentral lists this unclassified non-coding RNA (667 nucleotides) under Leishmania donovani. RNAcentral describes it as "gene:unknown". The record is from RNAcentral. Lineage: Eukaryota; Euglenozoa; Kinetoplastea; Trypanosomatida; Trypanosomatidae.